CGGGUGCGUAACGCGUAUGCAAUCUGCCUUCCACAGAGGGAUAGCCCAGAGAAAUUUGGAUUAAUACCUCAUAGCAUCAUGACCCGGCAUCGGGAUAUGAUUAAAGUCACAACGGUGGAAGAUGAGCAUGCGUCCCAUUAGCUAGUUGGUAAGGUAACGGCUUACCAAGGCUACGAUGGGUAGGGGUCCUGAGAGGGAGAUCCCCCACACUGGUACUGAGACACGGACCAGACUCCUACGGGAGGCAGCAGUGAGGAAUAUUGGUCAAUGGGCGCAAGCCUGAACCAGCCAUGCCGCGUGCAGGAUGACGGUCCUAUGGAUUGUAAACUGCUUUUGUACGGGAAGAAACCCUCCUACGUGUAGGAGCUUGACGGUACCGUAAGAAUAAGGAUCGGCUAACUCCGUGCCAGCAGCCGCGGUAAUACGGAGGAUCCAAGCGUUAUCCGGAAUCAUUGGGUUUAAAGGGUCUGUAGGCGGUCUUGUAAGUCAGUGGUGAAAGCCCAUCGCUCAACGGUGGAACGGCCAUUGAUACUGCUGGACUUGAAUUAUUGGGAAGCAACUAGAAUAUGUAGUGUAGCGGUGAAAUGC
RNAcentral lists this ribosomal RNA (588 nucleotides) under uncultured Flavobacterium sp. RNAcentral describes it as "bacterial SSU rRNA". It matches the Rfam family "Bacterial small subunit ribosomal RNA", at positions 103 to 689 of the family's 1533-position model. The record is from RNAcentral. Lineage: Bacteria; Pseudomonadati; Bacteroidota; Flavobacteriia; Flavobacteriales; Flavobacteriaceae.